UGGGACAGGAGCAGGGGCAGGGGCAGCAGAAGGGAGCUCUGACGGCUGCAUCCAUGGGACAGGGAAAACCUUUGCUUGAGAGCCCCUGACAGUCCUGCUCAUGGAUAUGCAGUACGAGGGCCCCGGGAGAUGGCACAGUAAGUAAGAGUGUUUGUUCUGCAAGCCAGGGGCACUGAGUUCAAAUCCCCAGCACCGAAGUGAAGAGGUGGAUGUGGCCGCACACACCCACGAUGCCAGCCUUGGGAAGCAGAGGCAGGCGAAUCUCAAAAGCCCAGACUCCACCGUCCUAGCCAACGCAAAAGCUUUCUGGCCCUGUGAGAGACCCUGUCUCAAGGUAAUAAACUGGAAAAUAGUAGAGGGAGACACCUGAUGCACCCACACGUUCACAUGCAGACACAUGACUCCCUCGACUCUAGUUUCUUAUGAAGAAAUCUCCAGCAAGUGGAUGAGAACUCUUUACCAUGGGGAAGGUGACAAACAUUAGCUUUGGAUAACUGAGUGUGGCGAUAGACCUGUGGUCCUCACCCUUCCUCAGGCUGCGACCCUUUAAUACAGUGCCUCAUGUUGCAGUGACCCCAAUCAUAACAUUAUUUUAGUUGCUACUCCAUAAUUGUAAUUUUACUAUUAUUCUGACUCGUGAUGUAAAUAUCUGAUAUGCAGGAUAUCUAUCUGAUAUGUGAACACGGUGGGGACUGCAAGCCACGGGUUGAGAACCACUGUGCUAGACAGCCUCAAAUGCAUCCUUUCUCUCUCUGUCUCUCUCUGUCUCUGUCUCUCUCUCUCUCUUUCUGUGCUGGACCUCAAGCAUGUUAAGUAUGCACUCUACCACCGAGAUACACCCCUCCCUCUCCAAAACUCCAUCCUCUCAUUUUAAUGUGUCUAUCACUUCAGAAUUUGAAGGGACUUUUCUAGAAAUUUUCUAGGAGAAAGGUGUGUGGACUGGGCAGUGCAGGAGGAAGAUGGAAACCAGAAGCCCUCAGCAUCCCAAGCUACACGAUGCCAUGUCAAACUAGAGUGACUCCUGAAACAAGCGGGUGUCUCCAGUAACUGAAAAGAAGAAGAACUGAAACAGCAGACAGGGACAGAGGGGUUGCCUCAGGUUCUGCCAGGAAGGAGCUGCUGAGCUCCAGGAAACCGGUGCUGAGGGAGUGUCAAGACAGGACGCCCCUCUCCACCCUCCAAUUCCCACCAGAGGCCUCUCUUGUGACUAUUGGACGCUGUUCCUUUAAAAGCAGCCACUCCUCCCGGCAACUAGGGUGUACAUGGGGGGUGAGAUGGAGGGAAGCUGACAGACUUACCCCAGCAAUUAGGGAAGAUGGCCCAGGCUGGAAGAGUCGCUCCCAAGCCCUACUGUCCCCUUCCCUAAGCCAGCGGGUCUGGGGAGGAGGGGGAACCUUCCCACCCCAGGCGCCACACGAGAUGGCUCCGUGGCCUCACAGAAACGGCUCUCUGGCUUUGUGGUCGGACGCCCCUACCCUGGACCCCAGUGCAGCCAACACCAGUGGGUUGCCAGGAGUACCAUGGGCAGCGGCAUUGGCUGGGGCAUUGCUGGCGCUGGCCACGGUGGGAGGCAACCUGCUGGUAAUCAUAGCCAUCGCCCGCACGCCGAGACUACAGACCAUAACCAACGUGUUCGUGACUUCACUGGCCGCAGCUGACUUGGUAGUGGGACUCCUCGUAAUGCCACCAGGGGCCACAUUGGCGCUGACUGGCCAUUGGCCCUUGGGCGAAACUGGUUGCGAACUGUGGACGUCAGUGGACGUGCUCUGUGUAACUGCUAGCAUCGAGACCUUGUGCGCCCUGGCUGUGGACCGCUACCUAGCUGUCACCAACCCUUUGCGUUACGGCACGCUGGUUACCAAGCGCCGCGCCCGCGCGGCAGUUGUCCUGGUGUGGAUCGUGUCCGCUGCCGUGUCCUUUGCGCCCAUCAUGAGCCAGUGGUGGCGUGUAGGGGCAGAUGCCGAGGCACAGGAAUGCCACUCCAAUCCGCGCUGCUGUUCCUUUGCCUCCAACAUGCCCUAUGCGCUGCUCUCCUCCUCCGUCUCCUUCUACCUUCCCCUCCUUGUGAUGCUCUUCGUCUAUGCUCGAGUGUUCGUUGUGGCUAAGCGCCAACGGCAUUUGCUGCGCCGGGAACUGGGCCGCUUCUCGCCCGAGGAGUCUCCGCCGUCUCCGUCGCGCUCUCCGUCCCCUGCCACAGGCGGGACACCCGCGGCACCGGAUGGAGUGCCCCCCUGCGGCCGGCGGCCUGCGCGCCUCCUGCCACUCCGGGAACACCGCGCCCUGCGCACCUUAGGUCUCAUUAUGGGCAUCUUCUCUCUGUGCUGGCUGCCCUUCUUCCUGGCCAACGUGCUGCGCGCACUCGCGGGGCCCUCUCUAGUUCCCAGCGGAGUUUUCAUCGCCCUGAACUGGCUGGGCUAUGCCAACUCCGCCUUCAACCCGGUCAUCUACUGCCGCAGCCCGGACUUUCGCGACGCCUUCCGUCGUCUUCUGUGUAGCUACGGUGGCCGUGGACCGGAGGAGCCACGCGCAGUCACCUUCCCAGCCAGCCCUGUUGAAGCCAGGCAGAGUCCACCGCUCAACAGUUCCCUUCUUCGGGAACCCAGGCAUCUCUAUACCUGUCUGGGAUAUCCAUAGACAGCAAUGGACUUCCCUAGUCCUCGGCCUCAGUCCCGCUCUCUCUCAAAGGUUUGAUGGCUAUGAAGGUGCGCGUCCGUUUCCCACGUGAAGGGCCGUGAAGAUCCAGCAAGGAAGCUAGUGAGUCCCCUGGAACCUCAACUCUCCAACGCUCCAGAACCGAUGACUAGACCACGAGGUGUAAGGGAAAUCUUACCAAAUGGGUUUCACCGUCCUCUCUCUCUUUCCGAGAGAAGUUGUCUAAGACCCACCUUGAACUUCACUACUACCUCAGCAGCUGGGACGGCAGGCCACCUGUGCUUGACGGCCCUGGGAGGAGCCCUAUGGCCUUGGAGGCCUGCCAGUCCCUGCCUAUGUUUGUGCUGUAUGCUUAGGGAAAAGAGAGCACCCCUCCCUCCCUUUCUUCCUACUGCUUUCCUAACCCUGAUGAUCGACAUGUUCCUCCACAAAUCACUCUGUCUCCAGGCUCUGUGUCUCUGGUUAGUUUGAGAGCAGGAAUCCAGGAAAAAAAAAAA
Mus musculus (house mouse) is the source of this 3149-nucleotide RNA transcript. It is a transcript of the gene named adrenergic receptor, beta 3, with no coding region annotated. The transcript has 5 exons. The record is from RefSeq and is marked validated. Lineage: Eukaryota; Metazoa; Chordata; Mammalia; Rodentia; Muridae.